This 725-nucleotide ribosomal RNA is filed under the name uncultured bacterium. Its description in RNAcentral is "bacterial SSU rRNA". It matches the Rfam family "Bacterial small subunit ribosomal RNA", at positions 796 to 1520 of the family's 1533-position model. The record is from RNAcentral.
CACGCCGUAAACGAUGUCUACUCGGAAUUUGGUGUCUUGAACACUGGGUUCUCAAGCUAACGCAUUAAGUAGACCGCCUGGGGAGUACGGCCGCAAGGUUAAAACUCAAAUGAAUUGACGGGGGCCCGCACAAGCGGUGGAGCAUGUGGUUUAAUUCGAUGCAACGCGAAGAACCUUACCUACUCUUGACAUCCAGAGAAUUCGCUAGAGAUAGCUUAGUGCCUUCGGGAACUCUGAGACAGGUGCUGCAUGGCUGUCGUCAGCUCGUGUUGUGAAAUGUUGGGUUAAGUCCCGCAACGAGCGCAACCCUUAUCCUUAUUUGCCAGCACGUAAUGGUGGGAACUUUAGGGAGACUGCCGGUGAUAAACCGGAGGAAGGUGGGGACGACGUCAAGUCAUCAUGGCCCUUACGAGUAGGGCUACACACGUGCUACAAUGGUCGGUACAGAGGGUUGCGAAGCCGCGAGGUGGAGCUAAUCUCACAAAGCCGGUCGUAGUCCGGAUUGGAGUCUGCAACUCGACUCCAUGAAGUCGGAAUCGCUAGUAAUCGUAGAUCAGAAUGCUACGGUGAAUACGUUCCCGGGCCUUGUACACACCGCCCGUCACACCAUGGGAGUGGGCUGCACCAGAAGUAGAUAGCUUAACCUUCGGGAGGGCGUUUACCACGGUGUGGUUCAUGACUGGGGUGAAGUCGUAACAAGGUAGCCCUAGGGGAACCUGGGGCUG